AAAGUUCUUCGGAGGAGAUUCACCGCAUGAUAACAGAGAUCGACACCGAUGGAGAUGGCUACAUCGAUCUCAAAGAAUUUGCCGAUUUCCACCGUGGAAGUUCCAUCGGUGAUACAGACGCCGCAGGUGGAAUGGAGGAUUU
This is a long non-coding RNA of Telopea speciosissima, 142 nucleotides long. RefSeq lists it as uncharacterized. Lineage: Eukaryota; Viridiplantae; Streptophyta; Magnoliopsida; Proteales; Proteaceae. The transcript has 3 exons. The record is from RefSeq and is a predicted model, not a curated record.